GACGAACGCUGGCGGCGUGCUUAACACAUGCAAGUUGAACGGAGUAUGUUGGAAGGGUAACCGGAAGACAUAUUUAGUGGCGAACGGGUGAGUAAUGCAUGAGAACGUAUCCUCAAGAGGGGGACAACAUUGGGAAACCGAUGCUAAUACCCCAUAAGCCGGGAGGUAAAAGGAGCAAUCCGCUUGAGGAGCGGUUCAUGUCCUAUCAGCUAGUUGGUGAGGUAACGGCUCACCAAGGCGAAGACGGGUAGCCGGCCUGAGAGGGUGAACGGCCACACUGGAACUGAGAGACGGUCCAGACUCCUACGGGAGGCAGCAGUGGGGAAUAUUGGACAAUGGGCGAAAGCCUGAUCCAGCAACGCCGCGUGAGGGAUGACGGCCUUCGGGUUGUAAACCUCUUUCAGUAGGGACGAAGCGAAAGUGACGGUACCUACAGAAGAAGGACCGGCCAACUACGUG
Molecule: ribosomal RNA, 459 nt
Filed under: uncultured bacterium
Lineage: Bacteria
Description: bacterial SSU rRNA
Rfam family: Bacterial small subunit ribosomal RNA
Source: RNAcentral